CUAACUUGGCAGCUGGCCUCAUCCCAGCCAAGACAGGAGUAAAAACUCCCAGUGAUUUCAGCUGGCCAAAGGGUUGAGGUCUGAGGCUGGAUAGCUGGAUGCUGCAGCACUCAGGGAGGAGCAGGGAGCAGUGGCCACUCAGAGAAGCCUCCGGACUUUAAAUCUAUACUUUAGCAGGCUUGAAAAUGGUCUAACUGGAAUGAAGAGAUGGCAACAGGAUCACAGAAUAGAUGCAGCGACCGGUAUCACUGCAGAAAGUGGGAGACUGACCACCGAGUGCAUUAGUUUUCCCAGAAGUUUCCAGCUCGUGAGAAACAAUUCAAACAUCUUGUCUAUUCAAACGAGAAGCUGUAAAGUGACCUGACAUCUUUCCUGGACGCAGUCUUGAGUAGUCUCAUAGAAACUACCACAUUGCCAUCUCUAAGAACCACUGCUGCGAUUAUCCUGCCAGCAUCCUUGGAGGUAUGUACCAAAGGCAUAGGAAUAAACUACAGAUCCAGGCCUUCCUCUUUGCCAUGCCUUUGUGAACUGGUAGACAGCAAGAAAUCAUCUUCUGAGUACAAAAUACUCUGCUCCUGAUCCUUUCCAUUGCUCUAUGCUGCUGGAACAACUAAGAUCAGACAACUUCUUCCUGUACCUCUCCAGAAUGGCUCUUGUAUCUCUGUCCUGAUUUUAAUCCAAAAUUGUUUAGGCCCUCUAAAAAAAUACUACUGCUACAAAGGAUUUUAUGCCUGGCAAAAUAUCAGCAUUGGUUAUCUUCUAUAACCACUUAUAAAAGCACACAGCUCCUAAAUCUCUUCAAGACUAUGGAAACAGAGAAAUUAAAAUAAAACCAUUGGUGGUGAUUAAUUAUGCCUGGAUUAACAAAAUGCCAGCCUUUUCUAAUUGUUCUGGGAGCCAGGAGGAAAGGAAUCAGCAUUGCCCUGCUGGAAGUAGCUCAGAUUGCUGCAGCUGAUCAGCAUGGUCCUCAAAAGCCCAGAGGAGGAGGAGGACAGGGUUGAGAAGGUGCCAUUUUCUCUGCUGGCAGGAGGAAGGAGCAGGAGGGACUUGCUGCAUGGAGGGAAAACGGGGUGUGCUGGGAGAAGCAGGCUUAGUGGUGAAGAUGGGAAAGACAAGAGGACCAUAAGUGGAGCCUGGAGAGAUGAGCACUAAAGACUUGGCGGAGGCAGCUGUACCUCCCACCGCACCAGGGCAGUGAGGCAGGCAGAGGGCAGCCACUUCCAGGGAAAUGCCGGGGCUCUGCCUUUGCAUUUGGAAGUCAAAUACUUGAGUUUUAGUCUUUUCUUCUUUAAUGCUGCAGCUGCCCAGAGCCACAGGUUGUCCCAGACUCUGGCCUAUCCUGAUUCCUCAGAACUAGCUCCCAGAGCUUUUUUUUGGAUGGUACUUAUGGAGAAAGUGAUGGUGGUAAUGGUAAAAUGUACCAAUUUUAAACCAUCAAUCCCAAGCCACUCCGUGACCUUCAUGUUUGCAUGACUAUGCACUACGGACAUGUAGCAUCGUUCUUGUUGCAAAUGUUACCAUGAUGUUGCCUGAAUGUUUUGCUUCCCAUAAUAACUCAGUGAACCAUAGCCAGAGAGAAUCACGCCUCAGGCUCAGCGGCAAAUACAGCACACAGCCCUGGCCUGCAAAAUCUCUCCUUUCCGACCUGAUCCUUCGCAGAACCCCUCGUUACACAUGCUGGGUGUUUAGACCCUGUGGUGCUGAAGCUGUUUUUUCACUUCUGAGCAGGCCCUCAUUUGAUGUCCAUUCAUAAUGCUCCACAAAUCAAGCCUACUCACACCUGGAGCCCCUCCCCCUGCAUUAAAGUAUUAGGUUAUUGUUUAUUAGGCUGAAUGGCUAUUAUGUGCAUGCAUGUACGGUUUUUCAUUUCAGAUUAUGAAAAAAAAAAAAAGAAGUAAAAGGAAGAAUUCCAGGAGUGCCCACAAGCCAGGAAGAGCUUGGAUCGAACCACAAAUGUGGGGACUAGGCAAGAAUAGUAUCCUUGGAAAUGACCCACUGGGUAAAAACAAAACAAUAAUAAAUCCCUGUGAAAAACAGCCAUUUGAAUUUCCAUGAAUGUCAUUACCUUCAAAAGCCAUGGGAGCCUGUGCCAAGUUUGGAUGGCACUGUGGAGAAGACAGAACAGUUGGAACAGAGGGCUGGCAGCAAUGAGAUUACAAAGAUACCACCAAAUGUUGUCCAGACUGCUGGUAAGUACAUUUCUCCACGUAUCAGGCUCAAAUAAAGAGCUUGCAAUGUAAAUUCAGGCCUGCGCCAGGUCACGAUGCUGCCGUUCACAUCAACAAGGUACAGCAAGACACAGUUACACUGCGAGUGAAAUCAGUAGGAAGAAAAAGCCACAGCGUAAACAACUCACCUAAAUACUCCAUGGCAGUAAGUUCAGGCAGCUGCCUGUGCCUUUACCCCAUUACACACUAGAUGAAGUGACUAUUAUUUGCAAAUAGCUUUUUGCACCCCAGCUGUGCUGGCAGGUUUUGCUUUUCCAGGUGCCAGGCAGCACCCAGGAGCUUGCAUUCUUAGACUAAGAGGGCUUGAGGCUUGCGGCCAUGUCACUCUCAUCAGACCAAACACGUAAUUUUUGAAAUGCUUGUGAGAGGUGACCUAGAGCCUUUGGCAUGUCCGCAGGGAAGAAUCAGCCAUGGGAACUCACAGCAGCUUUUUUAAACAAUUACUGGAGGAGCUUGCAGGGCUAUUAGUCACAGGCUGAUAGAGGGGUCUGCCCUAUGGCAGCUCAGUCUUUCCUCCUGGCAUAACUAACUAGGGGAGCUGGGCAGCAACCAGGAGGCAUGAAAAAGUACUUGAGAUGCUUGGAAGCAUUUGCCUGCCCUCAGCUAAAUACCCUCACUUUUGCAGACAGGUGGAACAGGCCCUGUCCUUUCGCCAGUGCCCGCAUGCCAGGAGGAGCAGGAGCACUGCUGUAGGUUUUGAAGGUGUAUUCCAAGCUGCCCUCACGCUUCUGCACACGGUCCCGCCAAUUUAUUAAACUCUUCUGAAGUUGCUCCUGACCUAAGCUAAGUACUUUUCUACUGACAUCAAUUUUUGCCACAUCACUAUUCACCCCCAGGUUAUUAAUAAAGCAUUAAACAAUAUUGGUCUGAGUCCUGCUCUCUAGGGCACCUCAUUAUUAAUCUCUUUCCCUACUAGAAUUGGCCAUUUAUUCCAUACCCAUUUAUAACCAGAUUUUAAUCCAUGACAGCACUUUACCUCUCACUUUGUGGUUACCAGGUUUCCUUAACAGUUUCUUGUAUGUGUGUUUAUCAAAAGGCUUUUGAAUGUCCAAAUAAAUUAUAUCCCCUGGUUGUUCUUUACCCACUAUUUUAGUAACUCUUAAAAGUAUAAAAGGCCUGACUGGCAAGAUUUAUUCUUGUAGCAGCUAUGUUACUUUUUUCCUUUGCUUGAGACUUGAUAUUUCCCUGCAGACUGUGAAAUAUUUAGACCAGUGACCCUCUGAAUCUUGCGGUGUGAAGCAGCACCAGAUAUGUUGUCGAUGUUUAAUUAAAAAUAAAAGAGAAUGUAAUAUACUGCUGACUUUCCCAACGACUUCCUUAUAAUGAGGUGGGGCUAAUAAGGCAAAAUUUCCAUGAGCUCAGCUGUCUGUGUAAAUAUUUACAGGGUCUUUAUCGCUUUAGGACCAGACUUCCACACGCGUUAAUGGGGUUAUCCUUGUAACACCUCUCUGAUACAGGGAAGCUUUAAUCCCAACUGCCUGAAGAAUCAGGGCACGCUGACAUCUGGCACAUAAAAACCAAACUGCAGUGCUUUGAGAAUACAGGUUAGGAGAUAAAACACCUUCUCCCACUUACAGAUGCUGUAUUCACAAAAAAAAUGCAAGAAUCAUCACAAUUCACACAUAUAAUCAAAGAGGCAGGGUACCCCAGUGUCUCUUCCCAAGCAAGCUCUCUGAACCCCGAGCUCAUUUUUCCCGUUGC
Molecule: non-coding RNA, 3929 nt
Organism: Phalacrocorax carbo (great cormorant)
Lineage: Eukaryota; Metazoa; Chordata; Aves; Suliformes; Phalacrocoracidae
Source: RefSeq, a predicted model, not a curated record